This 468-nucleotide ribosomal RNA is filed under the name uncultured bacterium. RNAcentral's name for it is "partial 16S ribosomal RNA". It matches the Rfam family "Bacterial small subunit ribosomal RNA", at positions 28 to 507 of the family's 1533-position model. The record is from RNAcentral.
GACGAACGCUGGCGGCGUGCUUAACACAUGCAAGUCGAACGGAAAGGCCCUGCUUUUGUGGGGUGCUCGAGUGGCGAACGGGUGAGUAACACGUGAGUAACCUGUCCUUGACUUUGGGAUAACUUCAGGAAACUGGGGCUAAUACCGGAUAGGAGCUCCUGCUGCACGGUGGGGGUUGGAAAGUUUCGGCGGUUGGGGAUGGACUCGCGGCUUAUCAGCUUGUUGGUGGGGUAGUGGCUUACCAAGGCUUUGACGGGUAGCCGGCCUGAGAGGGUGACCGGCCACAGUGGGACUGAGAUACGGCCCAGACUCCUACGGGGGGCAGCAGUGGAGAAUAGUGCACAAUGGGCGGAAGCCUGAUGCAGCAACGCCGCGUGCGGGAUGACGGCCGUCGGGUUGUAAACCGCUUUCGCCUGUAACGAAGCGUAAGUGACGGUAAUGGGUAAAGAAGCACCGGCUAACUACGUG